UUGACCUACGGGAGGCAGCAGUCGGGAAUAUUGCGCAAUGGAGGAAACUCUGACGCAGUGACGCCGCGUAUAGGACGAAGGUCUUCGGAUUGUAAACUAUUGUCGUUAGGGAAGAGAAAGGACAGUACCUAAGGAGGAAGCUCCGGCUAAAUACGUGCCAGCAGCCGCGGUAAUACGUAUGGUGCAAGCGUUAUCCGGAUUUACUGGGUGUAAAGGGAGCGCAGGCGGCGCGUUAAGCCUGGUGUGAAAGCCCGCGGCCCAACCGCGGGACUGCAUUGGGAACUGGCGCGCUGGAGUGCCGGAGG
Molecule: ribosomal RNA, 305 nt
Filed under: uncultured bacterium
Lineage: Bacteria
Description: bacterial SSU rRNA
Rfam family: Bacterial small subunit ribosomal RNA
Source: RNAcentral